CAAUCGAACCCGGAGAUAGCUGGUUCUCCUCGAAAUAGCUUUAGGGCUAGCCUCGCAUUAGUUUACCGGAGGUAGAGCACUGAAUGGUCUAGGGGGCCUCACCGCCUACCGAAACCUAUCAAACUGCGAAUGCCGGAUAAAUGAUGUGCGGGAGUCAGGCCGCGAGAGAUAAGUUCCGCGGUCAAAAGGGGAACACCCCAGAUCGUCUGCUAAGGUCCCCAAGUACGCGUUAAGUGGGAAAGGAUGUUGGAUUGCACAGACAACCAGGAUGUUGGCUUAGAAGCAGCCACACAUUCAAAGAGUGCGUAAUAGCUCACUGGUCGAGUGAUCCAGCGCCGAAAAUGUAACGGGGCUAAAACGCGACACCGAAGCAGCGGGAUGCGUAAGCAUCGGUAGAGGAGCAUUGUGUGAGGGUUGAAGCCAGAGCGGGAGCACUGGUGGACUUCACAGAAGAGAGAAUGCCGGUAUGAGUAGCGAGACCCAUGCGAGAAACAUGGGCGUCGAAGGCCCAAGGUUUCCUGGGGAAGGUUCAUCCACCCAGGGUAAGUCGGGACCUAAGCCGAGGACUGAGGUCGUAGGCGAUGGACAGCAGGUAGAGAUUCCUGCACCACUUACACUUGUUUGACGAAGCAGUGACACAGAAGGAUAGGACGAGCGCGGUGAUGGUCAACCGCGUAGGCGGCACGAGGCUGGGGAGCAGUUAAGUACACUUCCCGGGAAGGCUGAGUGCUGACAGGACCGAAAAAGAGUAGGGAAGCGUCUGAGUUCACGCUGGCGAGAAAAGCUGCUAAGGAGAGUGUGAGUGCCCGUACCGGAAACCGACGCAGGUGGGCGAGGAGAGAAUCCUGAGACGGACGGGAGAACUCUUGUUAAGGAACUCGGCAAAAUGACCCCGUAACUUCGGGAGAAGGGGUGCCUCGAAAGAGGCCGCAGAGAAUAGUCACAAGCGACUGUUUAGCAAAAACACAGGUAUCUGCGAAAGCGAGAGCUGACGUAUAGGUGCUGACGCCUGCCCGGUGCUGGAAGGUUAAGGGGAAGUGUUAGGGGAAACCCGAAGCAGAGAACCGAAGCCCCAGUAAACGGCGGCCGUAACUAUAACGGUCCUAAGGUAGCGAAAUUCCUUGUCGGGUAAGUUCCGACCCGCACGAAUGGUGUAACGAUCUGGACACUGUCUCAACUACCCACCCGGCGAAAUUGUAGUACCGGUGAAGAUGCCGGUUACCCGCGGCAAGACGGAAAGACCCCAUGGAGCUUUACUGUAACCUGAUAUUGGGUUUCGGUAUUUUAUGUACAGGAUAGGUGGGAGACUAUGAAACUAAGGCGCCAGCCUUAGCGGAGUCGCCCUUGGGAUACCACUCUUAAAGUACUGAAAUUCUAACCUGCGGCCGUGAAUCCGGUCGGGGGACAUUGUCAGGCGGGCAGUUUGACUGGGGCGGUCGCCUCCAAAAGAGUAACGGAGGCGCUCAAAGGUUCGCUCAGCAUGGUCGGAAACCAUGCCUUAGAGUGUAAACGCAAAAGCGAGCCUAACUGCGAGGCUGACGGGCCGAGCAGUAACGAAAGUUGGAGUUAGUGAUCCGGCGGUAUGUGAAUGGAAAUGCCGUCGCUCAACGGAUAAAAGCUACCCUGGGGAUAACAGGCUGAUCUCCCCCAA
This 1651-nucleotide ribosomal RNA is filed under the name human gut metagenome. Its description in RNAcentral is "bacterial LSU rRNA". It matches the Rfam family "Bacterial large subunit ribosomal RNA", at positions 830 to 2495 of the family's 2925-position model. The record is from RNAcentral.